This 317-nucleotide ribosomal RNA is filed under the name uncultured eukaryote. RNAcentral describes it as "partial 18S ribosomal RNA". It matches the Rfam family "Eukaryotic small subunit ribosomal RNA", at positions 1470 to 1796 of the family's 1831-position model. The record is from RNAcentral.
CCCUUAGAUGUUCUGGGCCGCACGCGCGCUACACUGAUCAGUGCAACAAGCAUCCGUCCUUGGCCGACAGGCCCGGGCAAUCUUUUAACGCUGAUCGUGAUGGGGAUAGACUUUUGCAAUUUUUGGUCUUCAACGAGGAAUUCCUAGUAAACGCAAGUCAUCAACUUGCAUUGAUUACGUCCCUGCCCUUUGUACACACCGCCCGUCGCACCUACCGAUUGAAUGGUCCGGUGAAGCCUCCGGAUUGGCGUGCACCCUCGGGUGCUGCCGAGAAGUUGGCUAAACCUUACCAUUUAGAGGAAGGUGAAGUCGUAACA